GAUGAAGAACGUAGCGAAAUGCGAUACUUGGUGUGAAUUGCAGAAUCCCGUGAACCAUCGAGUCUUUGAACGCAAGUUGCGCCCGAAGCCAUCAGGUUGAGGGCACGUCUGCCUGGGCGUCACAUAUCGUUGCCCAAUGCCUAUUGCAGUGCAAUAGGAAUUUCUAGGGCGAAUGAUGGCUUCCCGUGAGCGUUGUUGCCUCGCGGUUGGUUGAAAAUCGAGUCCUUGGUAGGGUGUGCCAUGGUAGAUGGUGGUCGAGUUAGAACGAUACCGAUCAUGUGCAUGCUCCCCAAAAUAUGGCCUCUAUGACCCACACGCGUCUUUUGACGCUCAUGACGAGACCUCAUGUCAGGCGGGGCUACCCGCUGAAUUUAAGCAUAUCAAUAAGCGGAGGA
This 395-nucleotide unclassified non-coding RNA is filed under the name soil metagenome. Its description in RNAcentral is "partial contains 5.8S ribosomal RNA, internal transcribed spacer 2, and large subunit ribosomal RNA". The stretch from base 1 to 122 matches the Rfam family "5.8S ribosomal RNA", at positions 35 to 154 of the family's 154-position model. The record is from RNAcentral.